RNAcentral lists this unclassified non-coding RNA (1814 nucleotides) under Zea mays. RNAcentral describes it as "misc RNA Zm00001eb028600". The record is from RNAcentral. Lineage: Eukaryota; Viridiplantae; Streptophyta; Magnoliopsida; Poales; Poaceae.
GCCGCUAUAUGGUAUUGGUAACACUGCAUGAUCCGCUCCGUUCCGCGCUAGCCCACCAGGCUUGGCGGCGGCAGGAUCCACGAGUCGCCAAAGAUGAAGUGGAUGCCGGUGAAGGGCUUGGCCUGGGCGUCGUUGAGCACGAGCGACCAGCCGAUCCGCUUGUGCGGCAGCGCGCCGGGGCCCGAGCACAUGUACUCGCCGUAGUAGAUGCCGCUCUUCUCGGGCCUCUCGAUCCUCCAGCCGUCCCAGCCGACGGGCACCACCUCCUUGCCCAUGGUGGUGUAGGAGUACACCACCCGGGAGGAGUCGCCCCAGGCGCGGCCAAGGUAGAUCUGGCCGGCGCCCGUGCCGGCGAUCCGGCACCGGAGGAAGGAGAAGCCGCUCUCGAUGGCGCCCGCUAUGCUCUUGGUCCGCUGCUGCGCCGUCACCACCGCCACCUGCUUCGUCACCGACAUGAUGGCGCAGUCCUCGUACAGGGACCGCCCGAAGCCGAAGAUGAAGUCCACGCUGCCCUGGAUGUGGCACGACUUGAAGUAGUGCAGGCCCUUGUGGUCGUACAGCGUGUCCUGCCCACCCUCGAUCGUGCAGUCGUAGAAUGCCGCCUUGGUGCCGAACACCCGCAGCGCCACCGCCUGCCCGCCCUCUUGCCCCGGCGCAGCCAUCGGCGCGUGGUUCUACUACGUACGUACGUUCACAGCAUAUAUAUGCGAGUAACGCAACGCAAUGCAUAUAUGCAUCGUCGAUCGAUGGUGAACGAAGAUAGAAACGAUCGACGCACGCACCCUGAAGACGAUGCCGGAGGCCAUGAAGUAGUCCGACUCCACCGCCACCGUGGCACUGCCGACGGUGCCGACGGGCUUGCCGUCCUUGCCGUGGGUCGCCGCCCUGUCGUCCCACAUGAUCACCGGGGGGUUCUUGGGGUUGCCCAAGAACGUGAUGAACGGCUUCGUGUACGGGACCAGCACCUUCUCUCUGCAUGCCAACGCAAUAUGCUGCAUGCAAUUUUUUUUUUAUUAGACAAGAGUAAGUCUUCAUCAAAAUCACCUGUAGGUGGCCGUCCUGAUGUCGAGGAUGACCCUCCUCUUGUUCCCCUCCGGCACGGCCCUGACGGCCUCGUUGAUGGUCCUGAACUUGCCCUUGCCGUCGGGGCUCACCACGUACCGUACCACCAUGCCCUGCGCCACCAGCAGCUGCGGAUCCCACACCUUGCCCGCCGACCCGUACAUGUGCUCAUUGCUCACGUUGCUGUACAGCUCCACGUUCUCGGUCACGAACUCGACGAAGCUGCCAGCACCGCCGUCGACCGCCGGCACCUUUACGUUGGUCCCGCCGCCGUCGAUGGCCACCGAGCUGGACGAGGAUGCAACCGAGACGAAACAUGGUUGCAGCAGGACUAUCGCAACAAGAGCAACGACGACAUGCGGAGGACGACGGCAGUUUUGAUGCCCCAUGGCGACAGAAAGAGAUCAGAGUAGAGUUUCUUCUACACGAUAGUAAUUAUUCCGCUCUAUUUUGGCAAUUAUUGAGCCAAUGGAAUUCUGAGGCAUGCAUUUUGUUCAUAGGUUUGGAGUGAUGAGAAUGGGAGGAUGCAUGCAGGAGGAGCUAGCAUUCAUUUUUGUUGGCCGGUUCUUGUUCAUCCUUGUACAAUUCAGCAUGCAUCGCCUCACCUGCCUCCUGAUUAUUUUUAGCUAUGGCUUCAUUGAGGGAGUAGUAGUAGUCGACUUCUUUUUUUUUGGUUUAUGUGUGUUGAAAAAAAUAAAUGUGAACUUUAUUAUUUGAACAAGGAGGACCAAAGAAGAACAUUUUUUUGAGAG